UGCAAUGCUAAGUGCCAACCAAAGUGAGUC
RNAcentral lists this non-coding RNA (30 nucleotides) under Mus musculus (house mouse). The record is from RNAcentral. Lineage: Eukaryota; Metazoa; Chordata; Mammalia; Rodentia; Muridae.